Molecule: ribosomal RNA, 439 nt
Filed under: uncultured bacterium
Lineage: Bacteria
Description: partial 16S ribosomal RNA
Rfam family: Bacterial small subunit ribosomal RNA
Source: RNAcentral
CUACGGGAGGCUCCAGUGAGGAAUAUUGCACAAUGGGGGGAACCCUGAUGCAGCAACGCCGCGUGGAGGAUGACGCAUUUCGGUGUGUAAACUCCUUUUAUAUGUCAAGAAAAUGACGGCAGCAUAUGAAUAAGCACCGGCUAACUCCGUGCCAGCAGCCGCGGUAAUACGGAGGGUGCAAGCGUUACUCGGAAUCACUGGGCGUAAAGGACGCGUAGGCGGGUUGGAAAGUCAGGUGUGAAAUCCUACAGCUUAACUGUAGAACUGCACUUGAAACUUCUAAUCUAGAGUAUGGGAGGGGGAGAUGGAAUUAGUGGUGUAGGGGUAAAAUCCGUAGAUAUCACUAGGAAUACCUAAAGCGAAGGCGAUCUCCUGGAACAUUACUGACGCUAAGGCGUGAAAGCGUGGGGAGCAAACAGGGUUAGAUACCCGAGUAGUC